GACGAACGCUGGCGGCGCGCCUAACACAUGCAAGUCGAGCGAGAACCAACCCUUCGGGGUUGGGGACAGCGGCGAACGGGUGAGUAACACGUGGGUAACCCACCCUCGGUUCCGGGAUAG
RNAcentral lists this ribosomal RNA (120 nucleotides) under uncultured bacterium. RNAcentral's name for it is "partial 16S ribosomal RNA". It matches the Rfam family "Bacterial small subunit ribosomal RNA", at positions 28 to 146 of the family's 1533-position model. The record is from RNAcentral.